Molecule: ribosomal RNA, 480 nt
Filed under: Streptococcus parasanguinis
Lineage: Bacteria; Bacillati; Bacillota; Bacilli; Lactobacillales; Streptococcaceae
Description: bacterial SSU rRNA
Rfam family: Bacterial small subunit ribosomal RNA
Source: RNAcentral
GAUGAACGCUGGCGGCGUGCCUAAUACAUGCAAGUAGAACGCUGAAGCUUGGUGCUUGCACCGAGCGGAUGAGUUGCGAACGGGUGAGUAACGCGUAGGUAACCUGCCUCUUAGCGGGGGAUAACUAUUGGAAACGAUAGCUAAUACCGCAUAAAAGUCGAUAUCGCAUGAUAUUGAUUUGAAAGGUGCAAUUGCAUCACUAAGAGAUGGACCUGCGUUGUAUUAGCUAGUUGGUGAGGUAACGGCUCACCAAGGCGACGAUACAUAGCCGACCUGAGAGGGUGAUCGGCCACACUGGGACUGAGACACGGCCCAGACUCCUACGGGAGGCAGCAGUAGGGAAUCUUCGGCAAUGGGGGCAACCCUGACCGAGCAACGCCGCGUGAGUGAAGAAGGUUUUCGGAUCGUAAAGCUCUGUUGUAAGAGAAGAACGAGUGUGAGAGUGGAAAGUUCACACUGUGACGGAACUACCAGAAAGGC